AAAAUACACAUAUAGUUAAAUUAUUAGAUUAUUAUUUAUACUAUUAAUAUAUACUAAUACUAUAUUGUUCUACUGUAAUACCAAAUUGUAUUUAUCAUUAAAAUAAAUACUAUUGAAAAUAUUGUUACUACAUCUACAUCAUCACAUCAAUUUUAUCAAUACAAACAAAAGCGUACAUUUUUAUUUUAAAAAUAACAACAAAAUCCUAAAAUUAAAAAAGUAUACCACCAAAUAACCUAUAUAACCUAUACACAAUCUAACCUAUCAUGUCGCGUGUUGCGGUUCCGCUCAGUGAUUUUGCGCGCACGAUCACGUUGCCGUGUUAUACCAUGUAACGAUUUCGUAUGUAUACGAAAAACGGUUGCCCGUUAAAAAUACCCCAUAUCUCAAUGCCGAGAGGAAAUGAUUCCGAUUCCUUCUCUUCUCCCUUUCUCUUUUUACGAGUAACACAUAACAUUUCGCGAAAACGACAUCAUGAUCGCUUUGAAUAAGAACAGGAAAAAAACUCACGAAAAGCAAUAAACGUUCGUGGCAUGGUUUACGUCGGAACUCUCGAAAAUAUGCACUGGUCUCAAUGUACUUCUACGAACGAUAAUCCUUGUCCAAACAAAUCGGCUCGAUCCUUCGAAGGAAUCGUGUAUUUCGAAGCAGCGUUUGUUCGUUUGUUUCACACAGGCUUCACAAAAUUACCCGUAAACAAAUGGAGAAUGUUCCAACGCACGAGAGAGGGAUCGUUCUUGCUCGUGGCACGCGUCGCCGUUUUUUUCGGAGGGCGCUGAAAACGGCGCGUGACGAAGCCCACCUGGCGGCGAAAUGUAACGAGAUUCUUUUGGAUUCGGAGGGUCUUUGUACGAUGGAAGCAAAAUAUGUCGUGUUGUGUAUUGAUUCUAGAAGAGGUUAGAAUCAUUCGAGCUAAUUUGUGGUUUACGUUCCGAAUGUUUGUGAAAUGUAACGUUCUACACGUAAUGGAAGGUAUUCACAAUAAUGAAGUUGUUCUAUUAUUCCAAAACAAUCAUAAAUUCUAAUAUAAUUUUAAAAAGGCUUUAUAAUGUGUUUAUUUUGGAAUAAAAACAAGAUUAUGGAAAGAAGAUUUUUAUUGAAGGAGAUUAUUGAAGAUUCUUUAUCACAUAAGAAGUUACAAUUACAUAUCUCGCUAAUAGCCAUCAGGAUGAUUUCCAGCGACGAUUGCCACAAAUAAUACCUUGCCGAUCGAUAGAUGGAAUCGACGUUGGAAAUUAAUUGGUGCCGUUAGUUGCCGAGUUAAUUGCCGCUCGUACUACAAGCGCGCCACUUUUUCUCGUCUUGGACCGAUCCUCGACAUAAUCUCGUCGAUCACCGGAACAGGAGCAAAGAAAUCGAGUGUCUAGACGUGAUGAUGAUCGCCGAUGGAAGUCGAGGUAAGGGAUCUUUUAACGAACUAUUAUUUGCAUACCUUCGAUUUCUUUUCUUUUCUUUUCUUUUCUUUUUUUUUUUAUUUAUUUUUUUUUUUUAUUUCUUUUAUUAUAUAUUAAGGUAAAUGCAGGUUCGAAGAAUGUUUGCUUCUUUUUAGAUAAGUUUUGUAAUGUUCCACAAUAUUCGAUAGAUAAUAGAAAUCAAAAGAAAUGUGAGCUGAUGUUUUGGUGAGAUGAGACAAGAAGAAACGAAGAGUUUGCAUUGUCGUUCGACGAGUUAAUUGAUCAUGAGGAACCAUCAUGGAGUAGGUCAUGAUUUGUGUUUUGCUCAUUAUACAGUAUAUACCUGGGUAAGGUAAUAUAAUAAUAAUUUUAUACUAUUGCAAUUUUUAUAAGUUUUUGUAUUUUAAAUUUUUAAUUUUAGAAAAAUGUAUAACUCUGUAAAAAGAUUUUAAUCUAAAUGAAGAUUCUUUCUUUUUUUUAAUUACAUUAUUUCAAAAAUUUUUCUAUUGCGCCACUGCUGAACAACGGUACCUUACAUAUUUUUUCAUCUAAUCAUUAUUAUAUGCCUCUUAAAUCAUAGAAAUCUUCCAUAUAAUGCAUAAAAUAAGCAUUUAUCUUUUACCUAACGAAAUUCACAUCAAAAAAUUUUCCUCAGGAAUGAUUUAUUAUUACAAAGCUUUUCUACGCGUCUCAUAAAAUUAUAUUUAUUCAUUAAUAUAUUCAAGUAAAAAUCUUCUUAUCUAAUCAAUUGCAACACCAAUUUAACUUAAGAAAUAUUAUUGCAAAUUUUUUUUAGAUUAAUAUUUCUGGUUAAGAUUAAUAAAUACUUAAGUAAUUCACUUAAUUCACUUACAAUAAUCUUAUAUUUUUAUAAAAAUUAGUUAAAACUUAUAAAAUGGAAUUAUAAUAACAAAAUUUCUUCACAUAUCAGAAUAUAGAAUGAUUAUUAUACAUUCUCAAAGAUACUUUUUUUCAAAAACUUUCAAAUAAUCCAUCUAAUUAAUUCUUUCUCCCCCAAAAAAAAAUUUCUUCAUGUAUCACAUAGAAUUCAUCAACCAAAAAAGAUAUAGAUUUUUCUAUGAUCAACAAUAUUCAAAUAAGUAACUUAAUCUAACUCAACAUCUACAAAAAUGGAAUUCUGGUGUUGCAAAUAUUUUCUUUAUAAAUCCAUUUCCUAAGAAAAAAAACAAUAUAAAUUUCUUCUCAACUAGAGUAACGUGUAAACAUAGAAAUGAUACCGCAAUAUAUAUACCUUGGCACAAUGAAACGAUCUGCCGAUCUGAGCACACUCCUCUCCUCGUCGAGAUCGGCAUCGAGCGAAGAGUGCUCCUUAACUGUACUUGACUUUCGAGACGAAGGCCAGAAAGAAUGAAAGUAAGGGGGGGAAGGGGGAGAAGAGGGUUCACAAACGGGGGAUAGAAACGUCCAUUAUUCUAUUCCGGCGAAGUGAGGCCGGCAAUCUGGCCUUAUAAAAUAAACCACUCUAGCGCUUGCGGUCGGUGCGAUCUGUCAAAUAAAUCGUGCCUCGUUUCUUACCAGCUUACUUACCCGGCCGAGUUCCCUUUAUCUAUCCUUUUCUUCGCUUCCCUCAGCAAAGCAUUACGGAUUUCGUUGCUCUUCCCACCAAAGUUUCUCGAGUUCGUGAAAUGAAACAUGGCCUCUGUGGAGACAGAGAACAGGAAGAUUCGUCUUCAUGUGAAGACGGGGAAUAGGAUUAGAAGGAGAUACCCGAUUCACAAUGCGUUCCACUGUGUCUUUCCAUCGAUCAUUUUUCCUUGGUUGAAGACGAGCGGCGCGAUUUAUACCAUGUUACAUUACUUAGGUCGUAUAAAUCGUCUUUUUGAUAGGGAGAGAGGGGGAGGGAGGCAGGUUGAAGAAGAUUUGAAGUGGUGUAGAAUACAGAGGAUGGUUGAUGGAUUUUUCUGUAUAUCUGGGAUUUUUGAAAAAAAAAAAAA
This is a long non-coding RNA of Apis mellifera (honey bee), 3349 nucleotides long. RefSeq lists it as uncharacterized. The record is from RefSeq and is a predicted model, not a curated record. Lineage: Eukaryota; Metazoa; Arthropoda; Insecta; Hymenoptera; Apidae. The transcript has 2 exons.